This is a long non-coding RNA of Gallus gallus (chicken), 729 nucleotides long. RefSeq lists it as uncharacterized. Lineage: Eukaryota; Metazoa; Chordata; Aves; Galliformes; Phasianidae. The record is from RefSeq and is a predicted model, not a curated record. The transcript has 3 exons.
GCAGAAAAAAAUUUCUUCAUCUGUCUGAGAAAAGGAAAAGCCAGAGUUUUGGCCACCGGAGACAGAAAUCAAGAAAGAAACUCCUGGAUCUGACUGCACUGCCAUAGGAACUACGGUUGUGGUCCCACAUUGGAUUCAAAUUCAGGUCUAAAGUCAAAACAAGGAAGGGUUUGAUGCAACACAAGAGGAAGGAAUGGGAAGCCAAUGCAAGAUUUUUCUUUCCAGCAUGUUUCGUGCAGUCUCAGAAAUGCCUUUUGACAGCACCUCAUGUGUUGAAGAGGAAUUCUUCAAUGUGAAAUCAGCAAGGAGGUCUCUGUAGACGCUGGUUGGCAUAUGGUAUCUCAAAUUUCUCGGUGACAAGUGGUAUGUUAGCAGAGCAACAGAGUAGCAGGGAAAAAGACGUUUUGCUAAUCACUCCCUGUUGCCCACACCCUCAGGCAGAAUCAUAUUGCUUUAUGCAGAUGAGCUCAUAACAGUUUCUUCAAUUUAGCUUUUAUAUAAAAAAGUGCCAGCUCCUAACGCUAUGUCAACAGGCACCCGAGGGCCUUCCACUUUACAUUGCAAGUGUAUUACUAUUUAAAGAUGAGCUUUUAGCUUAACAUCAUUGCUUGCCUUCAGAGUUUAAUUACCGCCCUCCCCAUGAGGCCCAAUGAGCCAUCCACUCCUCCCACGGGAGUUCUGCUUGGCAAUGAUCUUUAACUAAAUAAGUAAAUGCCAAAUAAGCACUUC